CCUACGGGGAGCAGCAGUGAGGAAUAUUGGUCAAUGGGCUUACGCCUGAACCAGCCAAGUCGCGUGAGGGAAGACUGCCCUAUGGGUUGUAAACCUCUUUUGUCAGGGAGCAACGCCGGCUACGUGUAGCCGGACUGAGAGUACCUGAAGAAAAAGCAUCGGCUAACUCCGUGCCAGCAGCCGCGGUAAUACGUAGGGUGCAAGCGGUAUCCGGAUUUACUGGGUGGAAAGGGAGCGUAGACGGCAGUGCAAGUCUGAUGUGAAAUGCCGGGGCUUAACCCCGGAAGUGAAUUGGAUAAUGGACAGUUAGAGUGCAGGAGAGGAAAGUGGAAUUCCUAGUGUAGCGGUGAAAUGCGUAGAGAUUAGGAGGAACACCAGUGGCGAAGGCGGCUUACUGGACUGUAACUGACGUUGAGGCUCGAAAGCGUGGGGAGCAAACAGGAUUAGAUACCCGAGUAGUC
This 461-nucleotide ribosomal RNA is filed under the name uncultured bacterium. RNAcentral's name for it is "partial 16S ribosomal RNA". It matches the Rfam family "Bacterial small subunit ribosomal RNA", at positions 338 to 795 of the family's 1533-position model. The record is from RNAcentral.